Molecule: transfer RNA, 84 nt
Filed under: [Clostridium] cellulosi
Lineage: Bacteria; Bacillati; Bacillota; Clostridia; Eubacteriales; Oscillospiraceae
Description: Clostridium cellulosi tRNA
Rfam family: tRNA
About the family: Transfer RNA (tRNA) molecules are approximately 80 nucleotides in length. Their secondary structure includes four short double-helical elements and three loops (D, anti-codon, and T loops).
Source: Rfam by way of RNAcentral
GCCGGUGUGAUGGAAUUGGCAGACGUGCGGGACUCAAAAUCCCGUGGUGGCGACACCGUGCGAGUUCGACCCUCGCCACCGGCA